GUGGGGAAUAUUGGACAAUGGGCGAAAGCCUGAUCCAGCCAUGCCGCGUGUGUGAAGAAGGUCUUCGGAUUGUAAAGCACUUUAAGUUGGGAGGAAGGGUAGUAACCUAAUACGUUGCUACUUUGACGUUACCGACAGAAUAAGCACCGGCUAACUUCGUGCCAGCAGCCGCGGUAAUACGAAGGGUGCAAGCGUUAAUCGGAAUUACUGGGCGUAAAGCGCGCGUAGGUGGUUCAGUAAGUUGGAAGUGAAAUCCCCGGGCUCAACCUGGGAACUGCCUCCAAAACUGCAUGACUAGAGUACGGUAGAGGGUAGUGGAAUUUCCUGUGUAGCGGUGAAAUGCGUAGAUAUAGGAAGGAACACCAGUGGCGAAGGCGACUACCUGGACUGAUACUGACACUGAGGUGCGAAAGCGUGGGGAGCAAACAGGAUUAGAUACCCUAGGAGUCC
RNAcentral lists this ribosomal RNA (450 nucleotides) under uncultured bacterium. RNAcentral's name for it is "partial 16S ribosomal RNA". It matches the Rfam family "Bacterial small subunit ribosomal RNA", at positions 354 to 796 of the family's 1533-position model. The record is from RNAcentral.